This 466-nucleotide ribosomal RNA is filed under the name uncultured bacterium. Its description in RNAcentral is "partial 16S ribosomal RNA". It matches the Rfam family "Bacterial small subunit ribosomal RNA", at positions 28 to 507 of the family's 1533-position model. The record is from RNAcentral.
GAUGAACGCUGGCGGCGUGCUUAACACAUGCAAGUCGAACGAUGAAGCCCAGCUUGCUGGGUGGAUUAGUGGCGAACGGGUGAGUAACACGUUAGUAACCUUCCCUUAACUCUGGGAUAAGCCUGGGAAACUGGGUCUAAUACCGGAUAGGAGCGUCCACCGCAUGGUGUGUGUUGGAAAGAUUUAUCGGUUUUGGAUGGACUCGCGGCCUAUCAGCUUGUUGUUGAGGUAAUGUCUCACCAAGGCGACAACGGGUAGCCGGCCUGAGAGGGUGACCGGCCACACUGGGACUGAGACACGGCCCAGACUCCUACGGGAGGCAGCAGUGGGGAAUACUGCACAAUGGGCGGAAGCCUGAUGCAGCGACGCCGCGUGAGGGAUGAAGGCCUUCGGGUUGUAAACCUCUUUCAGUAGGGAAGAAGCGAAAGUGACGGUACCUGCAGAAGAAGCACCGGCUGACUACGUG